This 1065-nucleotide long non-coding RNA is filed under the name Ursus maritimus (polar bear). RNAcentral's name for it is "lncRNA (ENSUMAG00000002543.1)". Lineage: Eukaryota; Metazoa; Chordata; Mammalia; Carnivora; Ursidae. The record is from RNAcentral.
CUCAAUUUGAGCAAUAGUAUAUUUCCAGCAGGGAACUUUUUUUUUCUUUCUCAUGUUGCUGGUUACUUGAAACCUGCCCUUUAAUUGCCGUGAUGCUGCAAUUUAAGCUAAUUAGCUUCUGGGUAUGACUCCUUCCCAGCUCGCCAUCUGACCCCGAAAUCCGAGCUUGCUGCUGGACCCCUCUGCGGGGCUCCGAGCACAGUCUCCACGCAGCAGCCUCCCCACAUUGGCGAGGACGGUGCCCACUGACGCUUGGACAAAUCAGGCCUUGGCCCUGCUCUCUCCUCGGUCCAGCUCUCGGCAGCGAAAUGAGCAACCGCUCUCUCAGAAGUUCUAACACCCACAGAGGAGCCAGAGGGGGAGCCGCAGUCUCCAGGUAGUGAGCCUCAGUACGGCACCUGCUCCAUAGGGCACCAUCUGUCCUCUGGGGAGCCUGGGCCGAUGUUGGUACUUGCGUUCGUUUCUGCCCUUUGGGGAUAAUUCAUCAUCGUAGAUGACGGAAUCUCCUGCGUCAUUCAGCCAUUCUUGGCUGUUUAAAAAAAAAAAAAAAUGGCUAGAGCCUAAGCUGAAUCUCUGCCUUUUGAGUCAGCCCGGAGAGAGGCAAAGAAGAAUCUCUUUCCGUUCAGGCUGCGUCUACGACACCCAUUGGCUGUGCAAUGGGUGAGGUUUUCCCAGGCGAUUUUGAUUUCUGUUGUUUGCUCUUUUCCUCGGCUGUUUUGAGCACUGUCUGCGCGUCACGCGCUCCUUGGAGACAUUUAACUUCAUCCCCUCUAGGAGGCCGACCACGCGGGGCGGUGAUGAGAAGCUGUUCUGGCUCGGAUCCCAGCAUGUACUCGUUGUGCAACAUUCUGUUCCCAGAGCCUCUCGGUCUUCGGAUGGUACGAGUCUCACUCGGAAAAGUAAGAGCAAAGAUGAGAAUCGGAACAGAGGAAAGAACGAUGUCACACUUAGUAGAUGCUCAGUAAAAGGGGUUUUAUUCAUUUGAAUGAAGUUAAGGUGGUGUCUGUUCUGAGUAAAUCAGUGCUCCGGAGCAAAAUAAAAAUGCAAACGUUCUGUGAGUUUUCA